Molecule: non-coding RNA, 45 nt
Organism: Ailuropoda melanoleuca (giant panda)
Lineage: Eukaryota; Metazoa; Chordata; Mammalia; Carnivora; Ursidae
Source: Rfam
CCAAAGGCUCUUUUCAGAGCCACCCACAGCAGCACGCGGAAGGAG